AUGUCAUGAUGUGGGCAUUUUCUUAGUAAUUCCUUGUACUUCUCCCAAGUAUCAGAGACUGCUUCAUCAUCAAUUUGUCUAAAAGACAAAUUUCAUUUCUAAAAUU
Molecule: small nucleolar RNA, 106 nt
Organism: Cynara cardunculus var. scolymus (artichoke)
Lineage: Eukaryota; Viridiplantae; Streptophyta; Magnoliopsida; Asterales; Asteraceae
Source: RefSeq, a predicted model, not a curated record